This 484-nucleotide ribosomal RNA is filed under the name uncultured bacterium. RNAcentral describes it as "partial 16S ribosomal RNA". It matches the Rfam family "Bacterial small subunit ribosomal RNA", at positions 38 to 507 of the family's 1533-position model. The record is from RNAcentral.
GGGGGGGGGGGGGGGGGGGGCGGGGGCGGGCAGGUCGGGCGGAUGGAGGGGGCUUGCGCCUGGGUUCAGCGGCGGGCGGGUGAGUGAUGCCGAGGAGUCUGCCGGGUAGUGGGGGAUAACGUCCGGAAACGGGCGCUAAUACCGCAUACGUCCUGAGGGAGAAAGUGGGGGAUCUUCGGACCUCACGCUAUCAGAUGAGCCUAGGUCGGAUUAGCUAGAUGGUGGGGUAAAGGCCUACCAAGGCGACGAUCCGUAACUGGUCUGAGAGGAUGAUCAGUCACACUGGAACUGAGACACGGUCCAGACUCCUACGGGAGGCAGCAGUGGGGAAUAUUGGACAAUGGGCGAAAGCCUGAUCCAGCCAUGCCGCGUGUGUGAAGAAGGUCUUCGGAUUGUAAAGCACUUUAAGUUGGGAGGAAGGGCAGUAAGUUAAUACCUUGCUGUUUUGACGUUACCAACAGAAUAAGCACCGGCUAACUUCGUG